RNAcentral lists this ribosomal RNA (1589 nucleotides) under Escherichia coli. Its description in RNAcentral is "bacterial LSU rRNA". It matches the Rfam family "Bacterial large subunit ribosomal RNA", at positions 1252 to 2826 of the family's 2925-position model. The record is from RNAcentral. Lineage: Bacteria; Pseudomonadati; Pseudomonadota; Gammaproteobacteria; Enterobacterales; Enterobacteriaceae.
GAAGGUGUGCUGUGAGGCAUGCUGGAGGUAUCAGAAGUGCGAAUGCUGACAUAAGUAACGAUAAAGCGGGUGAAAAGCCCGCUCGCCGGAAGACCAAGGGUUCCUGUCCAACGUUAAUCGGGGCAGGGUGAGUCGACCCCUAAGGCGAGGCCGAAAGGCGUAGUCGAUGGGAAACAGGUUAAUAUUCCUGUACUUGGUGUUACUGCGAAGGGGGGACGGAGAAGGCUAUGUUGGCCGGGCGACGGUUGUCCCGGUUUAAGCGUGUAGGCUGGUUUUCCAGGCAAAUCCGGAAAAUCAAGGCUGAGGCGUGAUGACGAGGCACUACGGUGCUGAAGCAACAAAUGCCCUGCUUCCAGGAAAAGCCUCUAAGCAUCAGGUAACAUCAAAUCGUACCCCAAACCGACACAGGUGGUCAGGUAGAGAAUACCAAGGCGCUUGAGAGAACUCGGGUGAAGGAACUAGGCAAAAUGGUGCCGUAACUUCGGGAGAAGGCACGCUGAUAUGUAGGUGAAGCGACUUGCUCGUGGAGCUGAAAUCAGUCGAAGAUACCAGCUGGCUGCAACUGUUUAUUAAAAACACAGCACUGUGCAAACACGAAAGUGGACGUAUACGGUGUGACGCCUGCCCGGUGCCGGAAGGUUAAUUGAUGGGGUUAGCGCAAGCGAAGCUCUUGAUCGAAGCCCCGGUAAACGGCGGCCGUAACUAUAACGGUCCUAAGGUAGCGAAAUUCCUUGUCGGGUAAGUUCCGACCUGCACGAAUGGCGUAAUGAUGGCCAGGCUGUCUCCACCCGAGACUCAGUGAAAUUGAACUCGCUGUGAAGAUGCAGUGUACCCGCGGCAAGACGGAAAGACCCCGUGAACCUUUACUAUAGCUUGACACUGAACAUUGAGCCUUGAUGUGUAGGAUAGGUGGGAGGCUUUGAAGUGUGGACGCCAGUCUGCAUGGAGCCGACCUUGAAAUACCACCCUUUAAUGUUUGAUGUUCUAACGUUGACCCGUGAUCCGGGUUGCGGACAGUGUCUGGUGGGUAGUUUGACUGGGGCGGUCUCCUCCUAAAGAGUAACGGAGGAGCACGAAGGUUGGCUAAUCCUGGUCGGACAUCAGGAGGUUAGUGCAAUGGCAUAAGCCAGCUUGACUGCGAGCGUGACGGCGCGAGCAGGUGCGAAAGCAGGUCAUAGUGAUCCGGUGGUUCUGAAUGGAAGGGCCAUCGCUCAACGGAUAAAAGGUACUCCGGGGAUAACAGGCUGAUACCGCCCAAGAGUUCAUAUCGACGGCGGUGUUUGGCACCUCGAUGUCGGCUCAUCACAUCCUGGGGCUGAAGUAGGUCCCAAGGGUAUGGCUGUUCGCCAUUUAAAGUGGUACGCGAGCUGGGUUUAGAACGUCGUGAGACAGUUCGGUCCCUAUCUGCCGUGGGCGCUGGAGAACUGAGGGGGGCUGCUCCUAGUACGAGAGGACCGGAGUGGACGCAUCACUGGUGUUCGGGUUGUCAUGCCAAUGGCACUGCCCGGUAGCUAAAUGCGGAAGAGAUAAGUGCUGAAAGCAUCUAAGCACGAAACUUGCCCCGAGAUGAGUUCUCCCUGACUCCUUGA